Molecule: ribosomal RNA, 1393 nt
Filed under: uncultured bacterium
Lineage: Bacteria
Description: partial 16S ribosomal RNA
Rfam family: Bacterial small subunit ribosomal RNA
Source: RNAcentral
UUAGAGUUUGAUCCUGGCUCAAGAUGAACGCUAGCGACAGGCCUAACACAUGCAAGUCGAGGGGUAACAGGGGCUUCGGCCCGCUGACGACCGGCGCACGGGUGAGUAACGCGUAUGCAACCUGCCUGUAACAGCGGGAUAGCUCCCUGAAAGGGGAAUUAACACCGCAUAACACCACGCUCUCGCAUGGGGACGGGGUAAAAUAUUUAUAGGUUACAGAUGGGCAUGCGUGACAUUAGUUAGUUGGUGAGGUAACGGCUCACCAAGACUGCGAUGUCUAGGGGUCCUGAGAGGAAGGUCCCCCACACUGGAACUGAGACACGGUCCAGACUCCUACGGGAGGCAGCAGUGAGGAAUAUUGGUCAAUGGACGCAAGUCUGAACCAGCCAUGUCGCGUGCAGGAUGACUGCCCUAUGGGUUGUAAACUGCUUUUAUAUUGGAAGAAUUGCGCUUACGAGUUAAGCGUUUGACGGUACCCAAGGAGGAAGCCCCGGCUAACUACGUGCCAGCAGCCGCGGUAAUACGUAGGGGGCGAGCGUUGUCCGGAAUUAUUGGGCGUAAAGGGUUCGCAGGCGGUCUGAUAAGUCAGAUGUGAAAGACUAUGGCUCAACCAUGGCAAGCAUUAGAAACUGCAUAACUUGAGUCAAGGAGAGGUAAGUGGAAUUCCUAGUGUAGCGGUGAAAUGCGUAGAUAUUAGGAGGAAUACCAGUGGCGAAGGCGACUUACUGGACUUGAACUGACGCUGAGGAACGAAAGCGUGGGUAGCAAACAGGAUUAGAUACCCUGGUAGUCCACGCCGUAAACGAUAAAUGGUAGGUGUCGGGAGUCAAAUCUCGGUGCCGUAGUUAACGCAAUAAGCACUCCGCCUGGGGAGUACGACCGCAAGGCUGAAACUCAAAGGAAUUGACGGGGACCCGCACAAGCGGUGGAGCAUGUGGUUUAAUUCGACGCAACGCGAAGAACCUUACCAGCUCUUGACAUCUUCUGUUCACUCUAGAGAUAGAGCUUCCCCUUCGGGGGCAGAAUGACAGGUGGUGCAUGGUUGUCGUCAGCUCGUGUCGUGAGAUGUUGGGUUAAGUCCCAUAACGAGCGCAACCCUUAUUGUUAGUUGCCAGCAUUCAGUUGGGCACUCUAGCGAGACUGCCGGUGAUAAACCGGAGGAAGGUGGGGAUGACGUCAAAUCAUCAUGCCCCUUAUGAGCUGGGCUACACACGUGCUACAAUGGACGGUACAACGGGUAGCGAGGGCGCGAGCCUUAGCAAAUCCUAAUAAGCCGUUCUCAGUUCGGAUUGUUCUCUGCAACUCGAGAGCAUGAAGCCGGAAUCGCUAGUAAUCGCGGAUCAGAAUGCCGCGGUGAAUACGUUCCCGGGUCUUGUACUCACCGCCCGUCAAG